CAAAAUGAUCUGUUCCUGAUUAAAAGAGUCUCAAUCAGUUUGGUAUAAUGGAAAAUAGGAUGGAGGCCAGAAAAGGAACAUGGCAUUUAGGCAACAUUGCCAAAAACACAGGUAUUCAAGCAUUUCACGGUCCCAGUGGUCUUCCAGGACUUGUCCGUCACAAUAUCCUACACAACCUCUGACUGUCCAGGGAGGUCAGGGACGCCAUGGCUUUGGAAAUGAUUCCUCAUGGUCUCGUAUUUGCUGCAAAUAGACCUUAUUCUGUAAGACAACUACUUCUGGUGGAGAGUCUGAUUUAACUUGCCAGGAAGGAACCCACUUCAGGUUGGUAACAAUGCUACUUUUGAAGCAGCAAAAUACAAUCUUAUAUUCUAUAACUACUUGUUACUUACCUUCAUACCUAAGCCUCAAACAUACAAACUCAAAGAUGUAUGUUUGAGAGAAUGUACGCAUUAGGAUUUGUCCGACUUGGUUUUGAAUCAUGAAUUUGUAAUUCACUAGCUUUGUAAUCCUGGAGCAGCUAAUAUUUCUGAACCUCAGUUCCUUUAUCUGCAAUAUAGGACCUAUAAUAUCCAUUGCCAGGUCUGUAAAAGACAUUCAAUAAAUAUUGUCAGUAAAAAAUCUAGGUAGC
RNAcentral lists this long non-coding RNA (631 nucleotides) under Equus caballus (horse). Its description in RNAcentral is "lncRNA (ENSECAG00000053049.1)". Lineage: Eukaryota; Metazoa; Chordata; Mammalia; Perissodactyla; Equidae. The record is from RNAcentral.